UGUUCGGUACAGGGAGUCUGCUGGACCCAUCCAGCAGCCUCGGCGCUGUUUGAUAGAAAGGGGAUCGAGGGGAAAACAGAGCCGAUGGGCGUCGGCGGCGGCGGCGCCUCGUCGGCUUUCUCCCGUUCUCCCGAACUGCUUUUAUACUCGCGUGGGUCUCCGAUUAGAGGUGGCGCAGCCAUGGCGAUGGAUUUCCCCGUCUCUCCGGUGGACAGUGCGGCAACACUAAUGGAGUUGAUUGGUGGCGUUGGUCGUGGGGAAGAAGAGACGGCCAAUGGAUCUCGCGGGGCAGUUGUAUGUGGAUUUGGGUGGAGCUAGCUCACCUGGGCAGUCCGUGGUCCUGCUAUGUAUGACGAGGAAACCAGUGUAGCUGCCGGCGGCGUUGAAGGCCAUCUUGAUGGGGACCAUGACGCUGUGAUUCAAGAUCAAACAGAAAAGUGGCGAUGGAGGCUCGGCUCAAUCUACUGGGAAGGUGGAUCCCCAAGCACAUGGAUAGACAAAAAGAUAGAAGUAGGAGCGUCUCACGCAUUGCAAGUGCUGAAGCUUCGGUCGACGAGCUUGAUGCUGCUCCUGUUCAUGUCUGUGGAUCUACAAGGGAUGGUGGUGAUGAAGAGCCGAGCAACUUCAACAUAUCCUGGGUGAUCUUCAUGCUGCACACGCAAUGGCCAGUGCCUCUGGAGCUGCACGAACAUGCAUAUUUUCUUCUGAUAUGGAUGGCAGCAUCCAAACACUAGUCCCAUAUGGUGAGAGUGAUGAGGAGGUUGAUCUGCCGGACAAUGAUAUUGCCUUUUGCCUGCGGUCAAUGUUUGCAAUGCCAGGUGCACCCGGGAGUACUGCUGGAGGAAUGAGUAUAAGUACAGCUCCUCAUGUAGCUGCAUAUGCCCGAGAGCUAGAGAAGAAGCUCGAAAGGAAAGGUAAGACCUAAAUACCGAAAACAGCACACAUACUGAUGCAAGAGCUAGAGAAGAAGCUCGAAAGGAAAGAGAUUGAUGCUAAUGAUGUAGGCGAGGACCCACUCGGGGUAGCUGCUCGCAAAGACAAGGCCACUGCAUGGAUUAGAAUUCAGAAAACUGCCCGAGUGUUGUUUGGUUAAUGCCCUGAAAAAACAGAGUGAACCUGGCCUGGACAGCCCAGGCAGAUGGUUAGCCUGCCAGGCAUCCUGUUUUGUUCGCCUGGGCCAAGGGGAGCAUCAGCAUGGAGCUAAACUAGGAGUUUGCAGUGUUCGCUGCUUUAUCAGUUUUUAUAUUAUUUUAAUCCUCUGAUGACCUCUCAGGCUCAGGCCACCCUCCAAACAACAACGCGUCCCGGCUGCCUGGCAAGGCGAGCAGAAUCAAAAAUUCAGGUGCAAGCCAGGCAACAUUUUUGCCCAGGCAUCUCGCCGAGGACAGCAACCAAACUACUCAGUAAUGAUAGUGUGACACCAUGGAGCGAACAUGUCAUAGCAUAUUCAACUUUACACAUGGUCUAUGACACAUGACGCCCUGUCCCAGCAGGCUCGGCACUCUCUGCUCCGCUGAAUUACAGGACCGGACACCGUGUCUGGGGAGAAUUGGUGCACUGGAGCAAAUGAUUCAGGGGUAUGCAGAUAUGUUGGGUGAGCACGGUGCUAUUGGGCUAACAUUAGACUCUAUGGGAGAAACCUAUGAUUUUUACAAUCUUCAUUCAUGGAAGCAUGGUUUCGCCAUCAGAUAUGGGGAAAGUAGGUUUACGUUGAGAAGACAAAGUGUAUGCAGGAAGUCGUCUGUGGAUGCUCUGGGAAGCCAAAAAUCAGAAAACAGCAGGUCCUGUUGGUGCGAGUGCCAAGCCAUGAUUCGAUUGCUUCGCGCAGCUGACAAUGGGCACGCCUCGUCUGUCGCUGCAGUCGGAGAUGCAAUUGGUGGCGAGCAGUUAGCUGUGAUUCACGAUGAUGAUGAAGCGCUGGCUCAAUCGACGAGGAGGAUGGAUCAACAGGCGCCUAGCUGGAUGAAAGCCAACACGGAUAAACUUUGCCUGGUGGAAUUGACUGUGAGGUUUGGGGGUUCUUCAUUGUGACUGAAUGAUAGACUGACAGUAGAAAUUUAGAAAUUUCUUGUACAAGCUAGAGUAGGGGAGGUGUAGUUCUGAAAAAACGUGUGAAGUUUUCUAAACUGAAGCAUGCAAGUACUGGAAUGAAAACAUGCAUAUUUUGAAUUGUAGUGUUUUACUUAGAAUAUGAGUGUGUCGUAUUGCAAACUGCCCGUGUUAGGGCAGCAGAUAUAGACUUGAUUUUUUUUCUUUGUUUAUUCUAGUUUGGGUCACUGAGUCUCAUUUUUGGGAAGUGUGUUA
Triticum dicoccoides is the source of this 2304-nucleotide RNA transcript. RefSeq lists it as uncharacterized. The record is from RefSeq and is a predicted model, not a curated record. The transcript has 9 exons. Lineage: Eukaryota; Viridiplantae; Streptophyta; Magnoliopsida; Poales; Poaceae.